This 468-nucleotide ribosomal RNA is filed under the name uncultured organism. Its description in RNAcentral is "partial 16S ribosomal RNA". It matches the Rfam family "Bacterial small subunit ribosomal RNA", at positions 335 to 799 of the family's 1533-position model. The record is from RNAcentral.
ACUCCUGCGGGAGGCAGCAGUGAGGAAUAUUGGACAAUGGGUGGAAGCCUGAUCCAGCCAUCCCGCGUGCAGGAAGACGGCCCUAUGGGUUGUAAACUGCUUUUAUCUGGGGAUAAACCUACUUACGUGUAAGUAGCUGAAGGUACCAGAAGAAUAAGCACCGGCUAACUCCGUGCCAGCAGCCGCGGUAAUACGGAGGGUGCAAGCGUUAUCCGGAUUUAUUGGGUUUAAAGGGUCCGUAGGCGGACUGAUAAGUCAGUGGUGAAAUCCGACAGCUUAACUGUCGAACUGCCAUUGAUACUGUUAGUCUUGAGUAAGGUUGAAGUGGCUGGAAUAAGUAGUGUAGCGGUGAAAUGCAUAGAUAUUACUUAGAACACCAAUUGCGAAGGCAGGUCACUAAGUCUUAACUGACGCUGAUGGACGAAAGCGUGGGGAGCGAACAGGAUUAGAAACCCGUGUAGUCCCAUG